RNAcentral lists this ribosomal RNA (377 nucleotides) under uncultured bacterium. RNAcentral's name for it is "bacterial SSU rRNA". It matches the Rfam family "Bacterial small subunit ribosomal RNA", at positions 28 to 407 of the family's 1533-position model. The record is from RNAcentral.
GACGAACGCUGGCGGCGUGCUUAACACAUGCAAGUCGAGCGGUAAGGCCCUUUCGGGGGUACACGAGCGGCGAACGGGUGAGUAACACGUGGGUGACCUGCCCUUAGCUCUGGGAUAAGCCUGGGAAACUGGGUCUAAUACCGGAUAUGACUCCAUAACGCAUGUUGUGGGGUGAAAGCCUUGUGCGGCUAGGGAUGGGCCCGCGGCCUAUCAGCUUGUUGGGUGGGGUGAUGGCCACCAAGGCGACGACGGGUAGCCGGCCUGAGAGGGCGACCGGCCACACUGGGACUGAGACACGGCCCAGACUCCUACGGGAGGCAGCAGUGGGGAAUCUUGCGCAAUGGGCGAAAGCCUGACGCAGCGACGCCGCGUGGGGA